AGUACAGUGUGAAAAACUCCGGUGGUACAGGAUGGACCCGCGUCUGAUUAGCUGGUUGGCGGGGUAACGGCCCACCAAGGCGACGAUCAGUAGCCGGCCUGAGAGGGUGAACGGCCACAUUGGGACUGAGACACGGCCCAAACUCCUACGGGAGGCAGCAG
This 161-nucleotide ribosomal RNA is filed under the name uncultured bacterium. RNAcentral's name for it is "partial 16S ribosomal RNA". It matches the Rfam family "Bacterial small subunit ribosomal RNA", at positions 191 to 354 of the family's 1533-position model. The record is from RNAcentral.